AUUGAACGCUGGCGGCAUGCCUUACACAUGCAAGUCGAACGGUAACGGGCCUUCGGGUGCCGACGAGUGGCGAACGGGUGAGUAAUGUAUCGGAACGUACCUUUCAGUGGGGGAUAACGUAGCGAAAGUUACGCUAAUACCGCAUAUUCUGUGAGCAGGAAAGCAGGGGAUCGCAAGACCUUGCGCUGAUUGAGCGGCCGAUAUCAGAUUAGCUAGUUGGUGAGGUAAAGGCUCACCAAGGCGACGAUCUGUAGCGGGUCUGAGAGGAUGAUCCGCCACACUGGAACUGAGACACGGUCCAGACUCCUACGGGAGGCAGCAGUGGGGAAUUUUGGACAAUGGGGGGCAACCCUGAUCCAGCCAUGCCGCGUGAGUGAAGAAGGCCUGGUGUAAGACUCUUCGUCGGAGAAAGUACGUAUGGGUUAA
Molecule: ribosomal RNA, 426 nt
Filed under: uncultured bacterium
Lineage: Bacteria
Description: bacterial SSU rRNA
Rfam family: Bacterial small subunit ribosomal RNA
Source: RNAcentral